AUGAACUCUAAUUAUAUUCUGAUUUUCACGCAGGAAAAUCCACCUUUUCCCUUGUGUUUCACUUAUACUCUCAAAUUGAAGUAUUGUGUACAUAGAAUAAACACUGAGUUCUCUGAAGUAAAGGUAUUCUUAACAGUGCUUAAGAAACUAUUAAUACGUUCUACCCCUUCCCCAGAUCACUGGUUGCAGGCCCUCCUAUGCCCUGGUGCCCUUCAGCAUCUUUACAACUCGGUCUUCACAUCUUCUAAACAUCUCUGUCAAGUUUUCCUCCUGGCCAUGAUUGAUGUGUUUUUUUUGUGUGUUUUUUUGUUUUGUUUUGUUUUUUGUUUUGUUUUGUUUUGUCCCAGAGGCAAAGAGCCAGUUACAUAUUCCUUUAAAUUUUUAUACCAUUCUGGGGCCUUGACUUUUUUUUUUUUUUUUAUCAGAAUGUCCAAAUUUCCUCAUUCUUUGUGGAAUUACAACUUCUCCUUGGCUUCAAGAACUUUUCGACCCUCCAAAGGAACCUGCCUCCUUCCUCAGCAUCCACUGGCCAGUUCGGGUUUUCAUUUGUUGGGCUCCAGAGUAAGAAAAACAUCCCUGCCUGCACCAUUUUCCUUCCCAGCUGAGCUGCAUGUGGUUGCACCCACCUCAGAGGCUGCAUCAGCAAUGUUGCAAGUGAUCAGAACCCUUGUCCCAAUGCCAUCCAUCAAAAGCUCAUUGGCACAUCCCUGCUCUGUGGAAUGA
RNAcentral lists this long non-coding RNA (723 nucleotides) under Canis lupus familiaris (dog). RNAcentral's name for it is "lncRNA (ENSCAFG00030009972.1)". Lineage: Eukaryota; Metazoa; Chordata; Mammalia; Carnivora; Canidae. The record is from RNAcentral.